AACGCGAAGAACCUUACCCAGGCUCGAAAUGUAAUGGACAGUACCAGAAAUGGUAUGUUCCGCAAGGACUGUUAUAUAGGUGCUGCAUGGCUGUCGUCAGCUCGUGCCGUGAGGUGUUUGGUUAAGUCCAGCAACGAGCGCAACCCUUAUCAUUAGUUGCCAACACGCGAGGUGGGGACUCUAAUGAGACUGCCUGGGUUAACCAGGAGGAAGGUGAGGAUGACGUCAAGUCCGCAUGGCCUUUAUGUCUGGGGCUACACACGUGCUACAAUGGUCGGUACAGAAGGCAGCAAGACCGCAAGGUGGAGCAAAUCCGUAAAGCCGAUCACAGUUCAGAUUGUAGUCUGCAACUCGACUACAUGAAGUUGGAAUUGCUAGUAAUGACGAGUCAGCAACAUCGUCGUGAAUACGUUCCCGGGCCUUGUACACACCGAUAGC
Molecule: ribosomal RNA, 438 nt
Filed under: uncultured bacterium
Lineage: Bacteria
Description: bacterial SSU rRNA
Rfam family: Bacterial small subunit ribosomal RNA
Source: RNAcentral